RNAcentral lists this transfer-messenger RNA (350 nucleotides) under Spirochaetota bacterium. RNAcentral describes it as "Spirochaetes bacterium (hot springs metagenome) transfer-messenger RNA". It matches the Rfam family "transfer-messenger RNA". From Rfam's summary of the family: Bacterial tmRNA, also known as 10Sa RNA or SsrA, is named for its dual tRNA and mRNA-like properties. Its role is to liberate the mRNA from a stalled ribosome. Lineage: Bacteria; Pseudomonadati; Spirochaetota. The record is from RNAcentral.
GGGGGCGAAUGGUUUUUGACAGCCAGAGCAAGUAGUACGUGGCAUGCAAGGUCGCCAUUCCUUCAAAAUGGCAUUCUAAAAAAAGUGCCACGGAUUCGUACGCGUAUAGAAUGGCUGCCUAAUAGCAGCCAAGUUUCUGAUGCGUUUGUCUGGUAGCGCACAGAAACUAUCAGGUAUACCAGACUAUGGCGUACGUUGUCGGGUUCGUACGUCUGAAUGUAAAUACCCGACUUGGGUGUCGUAAUGUGCGAUAGCGGACAUUCGACACCGACAAAAACCGCUAUCUAAGCAUGUAGAAGCGUACUAUGUAUGCUGGCUGGACGUGGGUUCGAUUCCCACCGCCUCCACAA